This 253-nucleotide ribosomal RNA is filed under the name uncultured bacterium. Its description in RNAcentral is "partial 16S ribosomal RNA". It matches the Rfam family "Bacterial small subunit ribosomal RNA", at positions 524 to 776 of the family's 1533-position model. The record is from RNAcentral.
UACGGAGGGGGUUAGCGUUGUUCGGAAUUACUGGGCGUAAAGCGCGCGUAGGCGGAUUAGAAAGUUGGGGGUGAAAUCCCGGGGCUCAACCUCGGAACUGCCUCCAAAACUGCUAGUCUAGAGUGUCGGAGAGGUAAGCGGAAUUCCAAGUGUAGAGGUGAAAUUCGUAGAUAUUUGGAGGAACACCAGUGGCGAAGGCGGCUCACUGGCUCGAUACUGACGCUGAGGUGCGAAAGUGUGGGGAGCAAACAGG